This is a small nucleolar RNA of Gossypium arboreum, 106 nucleotides long. It matches the Rfam family "Plant small nucleolar RNA R71". From Rfam's summary of the family: R71 is a member of the C/D box family of snoRNAs containing the C (UGAUGA) and D (CUGA) box motifs. Lineage: Eukaryota; Viridiplantae; Streptophyta; Magnoliopsida; Malvales; Malvaceae. The record is from Rfam.
CUUCCAUGAUGUGGGCACUUUCUUAACAUUGUCUUGAAUAGUUGCCAUGCCUCGUACAGGGACUCACCUUGUAUUGUUUGAAAUUUGUAAUUUCUUAUCGGAGCUA